Molecule: non-coding RNA, 65 nt
Filed under: Sporomusa malonica
Lineage: Bacteria; Bacillati; Bacillota; Negativicutes; Selenomonadales; Sporomusaceae
Description: Fluoride sequence
Rfam family: Fluoride riboswitch aptamer (crcB RNA motif)
Source: Rfam by way of RNAcentral
GAUGUUUGGGGCGAUGGAGUUCGCCAUUAAAUCCGUAAACAGGCGGUGAUGACUCCUACCAGGUA